GGAGACCAGAAAGCAAUGUCAUAAAUCCGUAUAUAAACUUGAAAAGGGCGACACAAAAUUAGGAAAUCAAAAUAACCCUCUUUUGCCCAAAAAAUACCCAGUGCGCAGAGCUUCCAUCAUUAUGGGUCGCGGUCAUGGUCAUGGUCAUGGUCAUGGUCGUGGUCGCCGUUCACGUUCACGUUCACGUUCAGGUUCAGGAGGAGGAUCGCAUUCCAGAAAAUCAAGUGCAGCUGGUCCUCGAUUGAGUCCUUGCGAGCAACAAGAGGAUCUUGUCCAGGGUUAUCCUGGCGCUACUGCUAUCGUUGCUCGUCCAAAUUCACAUGGGUCACACGGAUCUGGGUCUGGGCGCGGGUCUCUUGGUGAUGAGUAUCCGUAUGAGGACUGCCAAAGAUUUCUCGAUUACCUUUAUGAUGCAACACGUUUGUGUGGGAGCGAUUGUACCAGUGCUGUAGCAACUCGCAGUUACGUAGAGCUCUUUUGUGGUAUUAAGGUGUUACCUGAUGAGUUAGAGAAGAAGGAAGGCCACUGAUGCAGCAGCUGCAGAUCAUCCUUGAACAAGAUCCAUGACAAUGGCAGACAAUUAGAUAAAUGACUUAACCUAUGAACUUACUGGUGUAGGCUCUUUCAUUUUAGGUGAUGUUUGUAAUGUUCAGACGUUUACCUGCAAUGUAUUAUAUAUAUAUAUAUCGUGUGUGAACUUUCAACUCCGAAUAUCUCUGUACUAGUUUUAAAACGCCAGCUUCUUAUCCAGGUCCAUAUGAUGUAGUUUGAGGUGAAUUUGGUUAUGCCAUACUCCUGAAAAUUGCCAUAUGUUUGAACUUUGAACAAUUACUCCAGCACAUUGUUUGUUGAAAAAUAAAAAUUAAAAACUUAAUACAGCACAUUGGCAUCCAUAUUCUCAAAAACUUGAAAGCGCAAACAAGGGACGAGCCCAGCAAGCCAGAUCCAACUUUCCUCAUCUCUAUCUCUAGGGUCAAAUUUUCAAACUUUUACCAAAUUGGCUCCAGCUUUUCUCAUCUCCAUCACUAUAUAUAAAGCGAGGAGAAGGGUCAAAUUUUCGUACCUUUACCCAAUUGUCCAUAGUUAGAAUGGGGUGGAAGGAGCGUAAAAUGCAGAAAAGAUGGAGAGAAAAAGAAAGGACGCUUCUGGAUUGUGCCGUUGCGAGUGGUAGAGAGACGGAGAGAGUGAGGGUGUUGCUUCUUCUGGAUUCUGCCCAGGUCAUCAAGGACAAGAAAGGUAUUGCUUCUUUUUCUCAUCUGGGUAUUGCUUGCUUUUCUGGGUUCGUGGUUAUUUGUGGUUGCAUGUUCGUUUUGCAGGUGAGACUUACCCUUGAGGAGCCUGAACCUGAAACCAAAGGCUUUGGAAAUUCAAUUUUGAAGGUCCUACAGUUCUGCAGUUUUCUAAGGUUGAAUUGCUCCCAAAAGGCUUGGAAAUCCGGUUUCUUUUCACACAAGGUCAGUUCAAUCCAUUACACAAAACCCAGAAGCGAAAAGUAUGAUAUUCUGUUGCCUGAUUCCAAAUUCUAACAAGACUGAUAAGGCUUCAAUGCUGGAUGAAGCAAUUGAGUAUUUGAAGCAGCUCCAGCUUCAAGUACAGGUUUUGUUCGGAAUCUAAUUGAGAGGAAACAACUAAUUGAUAUUGUUAGAUGCAUUUGCAUCUUCAAGUUAAUCAACAAGUUCCCUGCUGUACAACUUUUAAAAGAUCAUGUGCAUGAUGCAAGAAACUGCCAGUGAAAUUUGCAGGACUAAGUUAUCAUUUGGUGAAAGGGUUUGCGCUUAUUACUACUCUUCCUGUCAUGGAUUGGUUGCCAAGACCAUUUGCUCUUUUUUGUAAUGUUAAUGACUCCCAAAAGGCAAUCAAGUAGUGCUGCAUUUGAGUGUUGCAGAUGCAUAUCCACUGUUUUUGUAACCAAAAUGGAUCAACACCCACGGUUGCCAGGGCAGCCUUUUUUUUUUUUUUUUUGUAAUAAAUUUAGAUAUUUUUGCAACUUUUUUCAUCAAAACCAACCUAAUUAUGAUAUAUUAUGUUGGUUAGUUUGUAAUAGGUAAUAAGGGGAGAGGAGAUUCAUUAGCGCCUUAGCGGGUAGUUUUAGCUAUUUCCUUUAUCAAUGAUAUUAGAGUGUAAUUUUAUUAGCUUCAUGAUGACUUCAAGAUGACAGCAAAG
This is an RNA transcript of Rosa chinensis, 2163 nucleotides long. It is a transcript of the gene named hornerin, with no coding region annotated. The record is from RefSeq and is a predicted model, not a curated record. The transcript has 9 exons. Lineage: Eukaryota; Viridiplantae; Streptophyta; Magnoliopsida; Rosales; Rosaceae.